GCGGUUUCAGAAGUCGAAAAGGUGGAAGUUAUUUUUGCUUGCCUCUCGUCGGAUUUUGACGCAGUGUUGACCUUGGCCUCGUUCUCGAUGAAGCCUCUUCCCUUCCAGCAAUUAGUCGACAUCCUUAUGGAAUUUGAAAGUUGACAGAUGCAAGCAGCAUGUGAGGUUCCAAUGCAUGCCCAUCUAAUUGAAAAACCUUUGGUUGCUGCGGUGGUCGACUCAGUUUCGUGCGAUGUACGUGGCAAGCAUUCUUAGGUAGGUUCACGUGGGCAUGGAUUUCAGCCACGAAUACAGUGUCAAAU
RNAcentral lists this long non-coding RNA (302 nucleotides) under Gossypium barbadense (sea-island cotton). RNAcentral describes it as "long non-coding RNA (GBAR_LNC022285)". The record is from RNAcentral. Lineage: Eukaryota; Viridiplantae; Streptophyta; Magnoliopsida; Malvales; Malvaceae.